ACUGUGUGGCCUGUCUGGCCCAGAAAUUGCUAUGUAGACCAGACUGGCCCGAGACAGAGAUUUACCACACCUGACGGCUCCUCCGUUCUUCCUGCUUCCUCUUCCGGGGUUGCCGUAGGGCACCAUUUAGGGCUGAGCACCCAGCGGCCACUGUUCUCGGCACAUUGACAGUUUGAGCCUCUGCGUUAACUGGUGACCACUGCACACAGAAGCUUCUCCGAGGUUGAGGGAAGCCCGGGUCCAGGCUGGAAGCUCCAUCCUGUCUGUGAAUGGAAAACCACUGCUUUGGGCAUCAGAGGCCGGAAAUAGACUGGGAGCUUCCCGCCUAAGGCCAAGGCCUGUGAGGACACCUGUGCAGGUCCGGGCUGGAGAGAUGCUCAGCUGUUUAGAGCACUGGCUGCUCCCACAGAGGAGGCAGGUUUGCUUCCCAGAACCCCCAUGGCAGCUCACAACUACCUGCAACUCCACUUCCAGGAGAGCUGAUGCCCUCUUUUGAACUCCUUGGGCACCAGGCACAGCUGGUGUACACAGACAUACAUGUAGGAAAUCACCCAUACACAUAACAUAAAUAAAUCUUUAAACAUUUCAUUGUAAGAAAAGGCUCAUAGAAUGAGAUGACUAUUCCUUGAUUCAUCUCUGCUAUCUGAUCCCUGCUCUUUAAUUCAAAAAGUUAUUAUUUUAAUUAUGUGUACAUAUGUGUCUCUAUAUAGAUACGUUUGGGUGUAAAUGCAAUGCCUGAGGAGCCCAGAAGAGGGCG
Non-coding RNA from Peromyscus maniculatus bairdii (prairie deer mouse), 757 nucleotides. The record is from RefSeq and is a predicted model, not a curated record. Lineage: Eukaryota; Metazoa; Chordata; Mammalia; Rodentia; Cricetidae.